CGCGGGUCCGCAGUGCGGGGAGCGGGGCCGAGGGGCGCAGAUGGCGGCCGGCGCGAGCGAGGGCUGGGCAGCGGGCAGGGCGAGGCCGGGCGAGGCCCCGCGGGAGCCGGACUCCCGAGCCAGGCUCCAUUGUUGUUGGAGCCGAGGAGGGGGAGCGCGGCCGCCCUCGUCGCCCGUGGAGCCGCGCCUUGGAGCCCUUCCAGGCGGGUCCCCGGAGAGGCGGUCAUGGCCGCGCCAGGGGACCGGGGAGCCGGACGGCUGCGGAGGAGCCGGCUGCAUGGGGUGCUAUGUGUUUUUCAGGGCGCCCUGCGUGCGGCAGAGGAGGCGAGCAUCCCGCUCAGGUGAUGAGGAACCCUUCGCGCACCCAGCGCAGAAGGCUGCUGCGGCCGGACGCCUCCAUUGUUUGACCACAACAAGGGCCGGAUUCUCACCCAGACCUGCAAAUCCAAGAGACACAUCUCUGGAAGAUAAGCGAGCUUCUUCCUCAAGACCAAAAAAGGAGAUGGCAUGAUACCCAUGUAGGGAAUUCCCCAAAGCAAGGCUUGCCAUACCUGGACCCCGAGGAGCCUGCUUGCUGGAAAGGCUUUUGUGUCUGAUGUGCAGGAGGCAGAAUGCCAAACUGACUCUUCAAGGGGCAACUGCAGGGGCUCGAGACCAGCCAGCAGUAUCUCAUCCUUCGAUACAGGGGAUAUACUGUACAGUCCUUUUUCUAGAAGUGAGAAGUACAAGAUUGCUCUACAAGAGGAAGAUUCUAGGGGCUCAAAAACAAAAAG
Molecule: long non-coding RNA, 773 nt
Filed under: Rhinopithecus bieti (black snub-nosed monkey)
Lineage: Eukaryota; Metazoa; Chordata; Mammalia; Primates; Cercopithecidae
Description: lncRNA (ENSRBIG00000046657.1)
Source: RNAcentral